This 3534-nucleotide long non-coding RNA is filed under the name Homo sapiens (human). Its description in RNAcentral is "HSALNT0172799". The record is from RNAcentral. Lineage: Eukaryota; Metazoa; Chordata; Mammalia; Primates; Hominidae.
CCGAAGCAGAGAAGCUCCUGCCCCUGGCUUAAAAAUUGACUAUCCUGGCUAAAAACAAAAUAUUCCCUUUGCUUCUUCAGAGAAGAUUCAACAGGAAGGACAAUAGCAUCUAGUGCCUCCAUUGAGAUUUUUUAAAAAUAAACUUUUUAUUUUGGAAUAAUUUCACUUUUACAGAAAAUUUACAAAUUAAUACGAAGAGUUCUCAUGUUCCCCUCUCCUAGUUUUCCCUAUUGUUAACAUCUUACAUCACCACAGUACGUUCAGAAAAACUAAGGAACAAACAUUGACAGGUUACUAUUGUUAGUUAAACUCUAUAAUCUUUAUUCAGGUUUCACUAGCUUUUCCAUGAAUGUCCCUUUUUCGGUUCCAGGAUUUCAUCCAGCAUAUCAGAUUACAUUUAGUUGUUGUGUCUUCUUAGUUAUAAUUUUCCAGUCUUUCCUUAUUUUGAUACUUUGAUAAUUUUGAGAAGUAUUGGUCAGGUACUUUAUAUAAUGUCCCUCCAUUUGGGUUUGCAAAGUAUUUUUUUCAUGAUUACACUGGGGUUAUGGGUUUCUGGGAGGAAGACCACCAAGGUAAAGUGUCCUCUCAUCACAACCUGUGGGAUGUACCCAGGUGCUGUCCACAUGAUUUACCUGUGGUUCCACCAUGAUUUGAAGGCAGAGGGCAGGCUCUGAGAAGCCUCCUACAGGAUGAGGGUCUUGAUUCAGAGUCCUUCCCUCUGGAUGCACAAGACCAUGGAUUGCUGAUCAAGAAGGACCCUGCAAAGCUGGAGAUGGGGUGGAGUGGGGCAGUGCUGCACAUGGGAAGAGCAACAGACUAGAAGCCAGGUCUGUCUGGCACUAGUCCUGACUUCACCGCUUCUGAGCUGCGUGAUGUUGAGUGAGAGUCUUUAACCUCCCUGGCCUCAGUUUCCUCAUUCACCAAUCAGUAUGUAACCCCUUCCCCUCCCUUCCUUCUAGGGUUGGCAACUGGAUCAAAUGACAUUAGAUUUGAAAAGACUUUAAAAAGUAUAAAAGACAGUACAUAGAUGGGAAGUCAGUCUUUAAGCCUGCUUUGGAUUUUCCAGCAUUUCAGCUCCAGCAGGAGGAGAAAGAUUUACUUUCUAUUUACUUAUCACUGUUAACAAGCAAACACAUACAAGUCAUAUGGGUGUGUGUGUGUGUGUGUAAUCUUUUAACUUUUUUAAAAGUCUGAUUUAUUGAAAUAUAUUUACAUAUAGUAAAAUUCAUCCUUCUUAUGUGUACAGUUCUGAGUUUUGACAAAAAAUACAAUCAUGUAAUCCUUACCACAAUUAAGAUAGAGAACACGAGACAUAGAAUACUUCCAUGACCUCUUCACCCCCAAAUUCCCUCACACUUCUGUCAUCAACCCAUUCCCCUACUCUUAGCCCCUGGCAAUAUUGACCUGUUUUUUGUUCCUAUUUUCUACAAUGUCAUAUGAAUUGAAUCAUGUUGCCUUUAUUGUUUUUAGUUCUAAAAACAACAUUAUUGAGGUAUAACUGAUAUACAAUAAAAUGCACAUACAAAAGUAUACAACACGUAAGUCUUGGUUAUGUAUACAUUUGUGAUAUCAUCCCCACAAUCAGGACAGUGAACAUAUACCCAUCACCCUAAAAGUGUCCUCAACUUCUACUGUCACUGCUUUUCAGCAAACUGAUGGUUCUCUGCAUGUACUCUGAGGCACAGUGCUCACUCCCACUGUUAUGCCCUCCUUCAGGUGGCUUUCUUUCCCUUAAGCUACCACCUGGCCCUUUUGAUCUCUCCAAAUCCUGCCCAUCCUUCAAGUCUACGCUUUAGCCCUCCCCACCACCCAAUGUCUAAAGGGUCCUUUAAAGUUAUCCUUUGAGAAUAAUUCAGCCCACACUUGCUACUUCCUUCUCUACUCCUAAUGUACUUACAGACAACCUCUCAUUGUGGUCUUUCUUUAUAUAACAGUGUUUGUAUCUUACUGUCCUAAGGUGAGUGGCCCAGUGUUUAGCAGCAUGGUCUCUGGGGUUAGAUAGUUAGGUUCAUAUAGUUAACCUUAGGCUCCUGUUUAACCUCUGUCUCUGUGUCAUUUUUCCUUAUCUGUAAAAUUAGGAAGACAAUACAGUAUCUACCACAAAGGGUCUUGUGAGGAUUAAUUGGGUUUAUCUGCAUAAAGCACUUAGAAAAGAAUCUUGUUAUACAGUAAGCACUUAAUAAAUGUCCACUGGCUUCAUCAGUACCAUUACCGUUGAAAGCCUUUUAACAGCAAAAACUACAACUCUCACUGUGUCCACAGUAGUGGGCUUGUGGAUGGAGCUCAGAUAUUUGUUGGGCUUUUGAUCAAGGGACCAUUCCAGUGAAUCAGAAAGUUCCUGUGACCACUUAACAUAUUACACGCUUGCUUGUGUACUGCUCUUAGAUGAUAUAAAAACAAAUCAAAUUCCCAAACCAAAAAGCUGCACUCUUUUGUCUGGGUAAAUACAGCUAUGACAUGUCUAUUUCCAUGGUUUAGAAUAUCACCAGUGGGAAUCUACUGUGGAAAAUUGAGUACAACACUAUCAUCAUAUGAUUUGUUUUGCUCAUAUUUGGCUGUGCCAUUGGCUGCGGAGCCAGGCAGCGAACUCCACACAAUGAGGAGCCUGUGAAAACGCAGAGAAGGCAAGAAAGGAUGCAAACAUUUAGGCAGCAUCUGAUGGUAGCUGGCUUGUGGUUUACCUGGCCUUUGGUUAGAUAACUGUGCCUGAUCCCUAUGGCCAGGAAGGAAGACAGUGCUAAUGAAAAUGAAGAUCUGUACAACAAAAGUACAGGCCUACCUCAGAGAUAUUGGAGUGUUCAGUUCCAGACCACGCAAUAAAGUGAAUAUCACAAUGAAGAGCUGAAGAAUUCACAUUUGGGCUGAUGGGCCUGGGGUAGGGAUGACCAACAGACCACAUGCUUCUUGUCUCUUCUACUCCCUGAUCCUCUGAUAGACAGGGCUAAGUGAUCAUCCACUCCUUCCACCCUCCAGCCUCCGAGUGGGCCACUUUUCAAGCAUGGAAUUCCAGGUUCUGCACCCUCGGAUUCAACCAACCAAGGAUUGAAACUAUUUGAAGGAAAAGAACAAUAAUAAUACAAAUAAAAGCCAAUAACAAUAUAACAACUAUUUAUGUAGCAUUUACAUUGUAUUAGAUAUUAUAAAUAAUCUAGAGAUGAUUUAACGCACAUGAGAGCAUAUGCAUAGGUUAUAUGCAAAUAGUAUGUCAUUUUAUAUAAGGGAGUUGAGCAUCCACAGAUUUGGGUUUCUGCAGGGAGCCCUGGAAUCCUGUGGAUACCGAGGGACGAUUGUACAUUUUGAGAACCGAAGCCCGGUGCUACCCUGUUGCAGCGAUGAAGUAUCCAGGUCACCUGGAGAAAGCUGACAUAAGAGCAGGCACACAGCAGGAAGCUUUGAUCCUCAUCUUCUCUCUGGCUGCAGCCCUCAGCUCUUGUGCACCAACUCUGACCAAUGACUAGGACUGGCUGCUCGGAGUACAGCUGUAUUGAGAAAGAUUCUGAGGCUGGGUCUGCAUUCAGCAGGAAAAAAAAUGAA